CCCUUAGAUGUUCUGGGCUGCACGCGCGCUACACUGUCGGAUUCAGCGAGUCAUAUCCUUAACCGAAAGGUUUGGGUAAUCUUUUGAAAGUCCGACGUGAUGGGGAUUGAUCAUUGCAAUUAUUGAUCAUGAACGAGGAAUUCCUAGUAAGCGCGAGUCAUCAGCUCGCGUUGAUUACGUCCCUGCCCUUUGUACACACCGCCCGUCGCUACUACCGAUUGGGUGUGCUGGUGAAAUGUUCGGAUCGGCCGUUUGUCGCGGUUUCCGCGUCAUGUGGCUGAGAAGUUCAUUAAACCCUCCCACCUAGAGGAAGGAGAAGUCGUAACA
This 327-nucleotide ribosomal RNA is filed under the name uncultured eukaryote. RNAcentral describes it as "partial 18S ribosomal RNA". It matches the Rfam family "Eukaryotic small subunit ribosomal RNA", at positions 1470 to 1796 of the family's 1831-position model. The record is from RNAcentral.